GGGGGAACACUGGGGACUCAGGGUUUGGGGUGCGGAGUGGGGGGGAAGCGAGGUACUGGAGUGCAGGGCAUGGAGGUCUGGGGGCGGCUGGAUUCGGGGGUGCAGGGGGGUUUAUGAUCAGAAUGGCGGGUAUUGCGGUAUGGGAGGAAGGGUGUAGGGUUGCAGGGGGUGCUGCAGUGGGGUUGGAGGAUGGUGUGGGAGGCAGAGGUGAACGUGAGGAGGCCGGAGCAGACGGUUUGGGGGGCUUGGGAUGCAGUGAGGGCCUGGGAGGACAGAGUGUGGGGUUCUGUGGUGGGCUGGGGGAGGCAGCUGUCGGGGUGCAGAGGGGAUAUUGGGGUGUAGUGAGGGCCUGGGGGCUGCAAUGGGGGCUGGAAGAGGCAGGGUUUGGGGGGCUGGAGCUUUGGGGGCUGCAGGGUUUGGGGUCUCUGGGGGUUUUGGGACUGUGUAGGGUGUCUGUAGGAGGGCUGGGGUGCUGUGCAAGGACAGCUCUGGGCUGUGGCUGCUCCCUGGGGAGGUGCUGGGCCCACAGCAGGGUGGGAGCGCAGAGUGGGGCCCAUGGGGUGUAAGGGGUGAGCUGUGUGGUGGGGAGGGGGCUGCAACAGCCAGAGCAGGGUUUGUUUUUGCUGUGUGUCCCAGAUCUUUGUGUGUCCCAGGGUGUCCUGCCGGGGCUCAGCCCCAGAUGGUGACACGGGUGGGACUGGGUGCUGCCAUUGCUGAGGUGAGGGAGCAGCAGGUGGCUGGAGCAGGAGGUGAUUCUGCAUGAUAGUGAGAGCUGCUCCUGCAGUUUGGUAAUUCCUGUGUGGUGUUAUUGGGUUAUCACAGAAUCAUAGAAGGGUUUGGGCUGAAAGGGAAAAUAGAGACCCUCUCCUUCCAGCCCCUGCCAUGGACAGGGACACCUUCCCCUAUCCCAGGUUGCCCCAAGCCCCAUCCAGCCUGGCCUUGAAUAUGUCCAGGCAGUUCUCUGGCUGUUUACCCAGAAGAAGUGGCCACAGCUUCCCUGGGCAUCCUGUGCCAGGGCCUCCCCACCCUCCCUAAUACCCCUUGUCUGUGCCUGUUGAAACCAUUCCUCCCUAUCCUGGCACUCCAUGCUCUUGUAAAAACUCCCCCUCCAGCUUUCCUGUGGGUUAUAGAAAGCAGCUGUGCCUAAUGGAUGGUGAACAUGAAUAAAAUCCGUUUUUCAAAGCUGA
Molecule: long non-coding RNA, 1187 nt
Organism: Zonotrichia leucophrys gambelii
Lineage: Eukaryota; Metazoa; Chordata; Aves; Passeriformes; Passerellidae
Exons: 2
Source: RefSeq, a predicted model, not a curated record